This is a non-coding RNA of Ictidomys tridecemlineatus (thirteen-lined ground squirrel), 69 nucleotides long. The record is from Rfam. NCBI's taxonomy places the organism in Eukaryota, Metazoa, Chordata, Mammalia, Rodentia, Sciuridae.
GGAGUUGUGGCUCAGUGGUAGAGCACAUGCCUAGCAUGUGUGGGGUGCUAGGUUCGAUCCUCAGCACCA